GAUGAACGCUGGCGGCGUGCUUAACACAUGCAAGUCGAACGGUGAACACGGAGCUUGCUCUGUGGGAUCAGUGGCGAACGGGUGAGUAACACGUGAGCAACCUGCCCCUGACUCUGGGAUAAGCGCUGGAAACGGCGUCUAAUACUGGAUAUGUGACGUGACCGCAUGGUCUGCGUUUGGAAAGAUUUUUCGGUUGGGGAUGGGCUCGCGGCCUAUCAGCUUGUUGGUGAGGUAAUGGCUCACCAAGGCGUCGACGGGUAGCCGGCCUGAGAGGGUGACCGGCCACACUGGGAUUGCGACACGGCCCAGACUCCUACGGGGGGCAGCAGUGGGGAAUCUUGCCCAAUGGGCGCACGCCUGAUGCAGCAACGCCGCGUGUGGGAUGACCGCCUUCGGGUUGUAAACCUUUUUUAGCAGGGAAGAAGCGAAAGUGACGGUACCUGCAGAAAAAGCGCCGGCUAACUACGUG
This 469-nucleotide ribosomal RNA is filed under the name uncultured bacterium. RNAcentral's name for it is "partial 16S ribosomal RNA". It matches the Rfam family "Bacterial small subunit ribosomal RNA", at positions 28 to 507 of the family's 1533-position model. The record is from RNAcentral.